This is a non-coding RNA of Pelobates cultripes (western spadefoot toad), 211 nucleotides long. The record is from the annotation of a GenBank genome assembly. NCBI's taxonomy places the organism in Eukaryota, Metazoa, Chordata, Amphibia, Anura, Pelobatidae.
GAGCAGUGAGGCUGCAGGGGCAUGUUCUAUACACCAAAACUGCUUCAUUAAGCUAAAGUUGUUCAGGUGACUAUAGUGUCCCUUUAACUUACUGGAUUUGAGAUAUGCACUCAUAAUUUGCAGAAUGUAUAGCUUCCAACAUUUAUUUAGCAGGGCAUUAAUUUGAAUGUUUAGUUGACCCAUGAUGGAUUGAUUAUAAUUUAGAUAACUG